This is a long non-coding RNA of Dioscorea cayenensis subsp. rotundata (Guinea yam), 1050 nucleotides long. RefSeq lists it as uncharacterized. The transcript has 4 exons. NCBI's taxonomy places the organism in Eukaryota, Viridiplantae, Streptophyta, Magnoliopsida, Dioscoreales, Dioscoreaceae. The record is from RefSeq and is a predicted model, not a curated record.
GACUUGCACAUCCCUGCGAUCAGUCAAGCUCCUUGAGCUCUCCUUCUUGCUAUCAUCAUCAUCAUCAUCAUCAUCAUCGACAGCGCGUGUCCAUCCGACGUCGGCAUCGCCAAGGCCGCCAUCACUGGAUUUAGCUGAGGUCACCAUCCAAUCUCACCGACGUUCCUCCUUUCAAUUGGAAACUUUGGAUUUUUAAUCGGUUUUGUGGUGUUUUGGUUGUGUUCUUGGCAAGAUAGAGUGAAGUAAAGUUGUGUAUUGAUGUAUGAAUUUGAUUGAUCAUCAGAUAAUUCAAAGAAAUUUUGGGCCUCUGGUGCAGUUCUGAAGAAAAAGGUUGUAAACGGGGAGAGAUUUUGAAGUUUACAUCUUUGUAGAAUUCAUUUGGGAUUGGUUCUUUGAUUCAGAUCCAAAUAAAAAACAGUAUGGUAGAAUUAUAAGUUGGGGUUUCAGAGCAAAGCAAGGAUGGGAUAGAAGCUGGAUCUUCUAGUUCACAAAUGUUGAGAAAGAAAAAUUGGUACAAUGAGAAGAUUCAUUAUGUGAAAAAGUUUCUCCAUAGGCAGGUAUGGUGCUUAAUUAUGAAGAAGAAGCUUAUUGUAUCUCAUUAACUAUGCUCGACAAGCAGGAUUUGACAUAACAAAAAGAAGAACAAGAUCGGGCGAUGAUGGAAAGUUAAAAUAUUAUAUAUUAGCAUGUGUAAGAGGUGGCAAUAGGGUAUUUAUUUCCAAAAAUUCUUUCAACCCAACACUAUCCAUCAAAACAAAUUGUCAAGGCAAGAUUAAUGUUAUUGUUGGUAACGAUGGACAUUUUACGAUUUCUUGUGUCCACUUAGAGCAUAAUCAUGCACUUAACCCACAAAAAUCUCAUUAUUAAAAUUGCAAUAAAAAAAAUGGACUCAUAUGUUAAGAGAAGGCUUGAACUAAAUAAUCAAGCGGGUAUAAGGUUAAACAAGAAUUUCAUUCAUUAGUUGUUGGAAGUGAUGGAUAUGAGAAUUUGACUUACAUUGAAAAAGAUUGUCGAAAUUAUAUUGUGAAAGCAAGGCAGUUCAAGCUUGGA